CCUACGGGAGGCAGCAGUGAGGAAUAUUGGUCAAUGGACGAGAGUCUGAACCAGCCAAGUAGCGUGAAGGAUGACUGCCCUAUGGGUUGUAAACUUCUUUUAUAUGGGAAUAAAACGUUCCACGUGUGGGAUUUUGUAUGUACCAUAUGAAUAAGGAUCGGCUAACUCCGUGCCAGCAGCCGCGGUAAUACGGAGGAUCCGAGCGUUAUCCGGAUUUAUUGGGUUUAAAGGGAGCGUAGGUGGAUUGUUAAGUCAGUUGUGAAAGUUUGCGGCUCAACCGGAAAAUUGCAGUUGAAACUGGCAGUCUUGAGUACAGUAGAGGUGGGCGGAAUGCGUGGUGUAGCGGUGAAAUGCUUAGAUAUCACGAAGAACUCCGAUUGCGAAGGCAGUUCACUGGACUGCAACUGACACUGAGGCUCGAAAGUGUGGGUAUCAAACAGGAUUAGAUACCCCUGUAGUC
This 460-nucleotide ribosomal RNA is filed under the name uncultured bacterium. Its description in RNAcentral is "partial 16S ribosomal RNA". It matches the Rfam family "Bacterial small subunit ribosomal RNA", at positions 338 to 795 of the family's 1533-position model. The record is from RNAcentral.